GCUGGCGGCGUGCCUAACACAUGCAAGUUCGAACGAGAAAAGCCUGUUUUUCGGACGGGCGAGUAAAGUGGCGCACGGGUGAGUAACGCGUAGGUAACCUGCCCUAUGUUCGGGAUAACAGCGCGAAAGUGCUGCUAAUACCGGAUGUGGCCAAGGAGCGGUGGCUCUUUUGGUCAAAGUCGGCCUCUCGCAGAAGCUGACGCACGGGGAUGGGCCUGCGUCCUAUCAGCUUUGUUGGUAGGGUAACGGCCUACCAAGGCUUCGACGGGUAGCUGGUCUGAGAGGAUGAUCAGCCACACUGGCACUGAAACACGGGCCAGACUCCUACGGGAGGCAGCAGUGAGGAAUUUUGCGCAAUGGCCGCAAGGCUGACGCAGCAACGCCGCGUGGGUGAAGAAGGCCUUCGGGUCGUAAAGCCCUGUCAGGUGGGAAGAAUGAUUCGGGGAUGAAAAAGCCUCGAAUGUGACGGUACCACCAGAGGAAGCACCGGCUAACUCCGUGCCAGCAGCCGCGGUAA
This 517-nucleotide ribosomal RNA is filed under the name uncultured delta proteobacterium. RNAcentral describes it as "bacterial SSU rRNA". It matches the Rfam family "Bacterial small subunit ribosomal RNA", at positions 35 to 523 of the family's 1533-position model. Lineage: Bacteria; Deltaproteobacteria. The record is from RNAcentral.